CAGGGAACUAUCAUCAAUAUCAUUCAGUCUGUUUACGAUCAGGGAACUAUCAUCAAUAUCAUUCAGUAUGUUUACGAUCAGGGAACUAUCAUCAAUAUCAUUCAGUAUGUUUACGAUCAGGGAACUAUCAUCAACAUCAUUCAGUAUGUUUACGAUCAGGGAACUAUCAUCAACAUCAUUCAGUAUGUUUACGAUCAGGGAACUAUCAUCAACAUCAUUCAGUAUGUUUACGAUCUCUGUUUACGAUCAGGGAACUAUCAUAAAUAUCAUUCAGUAUGUUUACGAUCUCUGUUUACGAUCAGGGAACUAUCAUAAAUAUCAUUCAGUAUGUUUACGAUCUCUGUUUACGAUCAGGGAACUAUCAUAAAUAUCAUUCAUUCUGUUUACAAUCAGGGAACUAUCAUAAAUAUCAUUCAGUAAAACACCAGAGGAAGAAGAGGAAUCAUUAUUGAGAUUAAAACAGAGCGGCUAAACUGUUAAACUGCUAAAUGUUUUUAAGUCAAAAAAGGUUAAAUCCUGUAAGUUCAAAGGUAUCAUAAUAAUGCACUGAAAAAGAUGUAAACGAAGAAUUGCGGCACGUCAUGAAUGAAUGGAUAAUGUAUUGUGUUUAAGUUAGUUUCCUGGUUGUGUAGAAGUCUGGAAGACAGGUCUAGAAGAACGUUCAGCAGUGACAGACCUGGCCUAUGAACUUGCUGUAUUCCUGUUUGAUGCAGCUGUACACUGUGUUGUAGAAGUGCCUGUCUGUCGCCAUGAGAUCGGUGACUAUUUCGGUGUGGUCCAUUUUAGGCAUGAGGUACAGGGACACCUUGAUUGAAAGCAAGGUGAGCUGCUCAGAGAACCUCUGGGAAGAUGCCACCGGAACUAUGAUGUCACUCGUUCCGUGCAGCAAGCAGAAAGGUGGCAC
This 904-nucleotide long non-coding RNA is filed under the name Salmo salar (Atlantic salmon). RNAcentral describes it as "lncRNA (ENSSSAG00000116762.1)". Lineage: Eukaryota; Metazoa; Chordata; Actinopteri; Salmoniformes; Salmonidae. The record is from RNAcentral.